RNAcentral lists this ribosomal RNA (504 nucleotides) under uncultured bacterium. RNAcentral's name for it is "bacterial SSU rRNA". It matches the Rfam family "Bacterial small subunit ribosomal RNA", at positions 36 to 524 of the family's 1533-position model. The record is from RNAcentral.
CCUGGCGGCAUGCCUAUAAUGCAAGUCGAGCGGAAUGAUGAGAGCUUGCUCUCUGAUUUUAGCGGCGGACGGGUGAGUAACACGUGGGCAACCUGCCCUACAGAUGGGGAUAACUCCGGGAAACCGGGGCUAAUACCGAAUAAUCAGUUUGUCCGCAUGGACAAACUCUGAAAGACGGUUUCGGCUGUCACUGUAGGAUGGGCCCGCGGCGCAUUAGCUAGUUGGUGGGGUAAUGGCCUACCAAGGCGACGAUGCGUAGCCGACCUGAGAGGGUGAUCGGCCACACUGGGACUGAGACACGGCCCAGACUCCUACGGGAGGCAGCAGUAGGGAAUCUUCCACAAUGGACGAAAGUCUGAUGGAGCAAUGCCGCGUGAGCGAAGAAGGUUUUCGGAUCGCAAAGCUCUGUUGUAAGGGAAGAACACGUACGGGAGUAACUGCCCGUGCCAUGACGGUACCUUAUUAGAAAGCCACGGCUAACUACGUGCCAGCAGCCGCGGUAAU